AGAAAGUAGCUGAAGAAACAAAGGCCUCUGAAUCCUCUUCUGCCUUAGGGAGGAUUGAGCUCAGCUCUCAAGCCCAUUGAAUAAAGGGGUGGUGCUGCCCACAUGACAAUGCUUGGCUAAGUCCAAACUCUUCUGGAAUGCAUGUACGAUCUGCAGAAGCUCAGAGACUAGAGCAUGUGACCAGAGUCCACAAGAUGGCCUGAGGGAGGCCCCAGCCCCUCUGCUCUGCAUCGCCAGAAUCGGAAUGAAUCCGGAAGUCCUGGAUACACGGGGCCCAGGUGAGCAGGCUGUUCGUGCUCUAGUCGCUGGGCGCAUUCUUGGUGUUCGGCUCUUCUGCUUUCUAGGAGGAGGCAGCACACGAUGAAGCCAAUCAGGUGUUCCCAGACAGAGGCCCCACAUGGCACCCGGCUGCACCUCACCUCAAGGUCUUCCCCGGCCUGGGGUACCUGGAGAACGGGACCCUGAAGUCUUGACUGACCUCUGCCUAGAGUGUUCCGAAUGCAGUUACUGGCAUCAGCUCUCCCAGCUCCCGUGACAGGUGCUUCCCCUUGUGCAUACGGGUAAAGAAUGAAGACGCAGUAAACAACUGUUCCCAGAUACCAACCCUUGAUUAUUUCCUUCGGGCUGGUCAAGGCCUGGGAGGGAGCAUGCGCAGGGCCCCACCUGUGACAUGAAAUGCCAACCCACAGCCAGAGGAAGUCCGAGCCGUAAAC
Molecule: long non-coding RNA, 713 nt
Organism: Tupaia belangeri chinensis (Chinese tree shrew)
Lineage: Eukaryota; Metazoa; Chordata; Mammalia; Scandentia; Tupaiidae
Exons: 3
Source: RefSeq, a predicted model, not a curated record